RNAcentral lists this ribosomal RNA (1675 nucleotides) under metagenome. Its description in RNAcentral is "bacterial LSU rRNA". It matches the Rfam family "Bacterial large subunit ribosomal RNA", at positions 758 to 2459 of the family's 2925-position model. The record is from RNAcentral.
AAGAGGUAGUGGAGGACCGAACCCACAUCCGUUGAAAAGGGUGGGGAUGAGGUGUGGAUAGGGGAGAAAUUCCAAUCGAACCCGGAGAUAGCUGGUUCUCCUCGAAAUAGCUUUAGGGCUAGCCUCGGUGUGAGUCUUGCGGAGGUAGAGCACUGAAUUUCCUAGGGGGCGUCAAAGCCUACCGAAGAAUAUCAAACUCCGAAUGCCGUGUAGAUAUCACCGGGAGUCAGACUGCACGAGAUAAGUUGGGCGGUCAAAAGGGAAAGAGCCCAGACCUACAGUUAAGGUCCCAAAGUGCGCGUUAAGUGGAAAAGGAUGUGGGAUUUCGAAGACAACCAGGAUGUUGGCUCAGAAGCAGCCAUACAUUCAAAGAGUGCGUAAUAGCUCACUGGUCGAGAGGUCCUGCGCCGAAAAUGUCCGGGGCUGAAACGCGCCACCGAAACUAAGGAAUCUGAAAAGAUUGGUAGAGGAGCAUUGCAUGCGGGAAGAAGCAGUACCGGAAGGAGCUGUGGACUGCAUGGAAGAGAGAAUGCCGGAAUGAGUAGCGAGAUAGAGGUGGGAAUCCUCUAGGCCGAAUAUCCAAGGUUUCCAGGGUAAAGCUGAUCUGCCCUGGGUGAGUCGGGACCUAAGGUGAGGGCGAGAGCCGUAGCCGAUGGACAACAGGUUGAUAUUCCUGUACUGCAGUAUGACAGAACUGUGGGGACACGUAAGGAGAGCGGGAGCCGGGAAUGGAAAGCCCGGUACAAGCGAGGUACCAGUAUGGUAGGAAAAUCCGCCAUGCAAUGGGAAGACGUGAUGUGGAGUGAAUUUUAGUAGCGAAGCCCGUGAGCCAUGCGUCAAGAAAAGCCGCUAUCGUUCAUAUUGUACCCGUACCGUAAACCGACACAGGUGGAUGAGGAGAGAAUCCUAAGGCCGGCGGAAGAAGUAUUGCCAAGGAACUCGGCAAAAUGGCCCCGUAACUUAGGGAGAAGGGGUGCCUGCGAGAGCAGGCCGCAGAGAAUAGGCUCAAGCAACUGUUUAGCAAAAACACAGGUCUAUGCGAAACCGAAAGGUGAGGUAUAUGGGCUGACGCCUGCCCGGUGCUGGAAGGUUAAGAGGAGAGGUUAGCGGUAACGCGAAGCUUUGAAUUUAAGCCCCAGUAAACGGCGGCCGUAACUAUAACGGUCCUAAGGUAGCGAAAUUCCUUGUCGGGUAAGUUCCGACCCGCACGAAAGGCGUAAUGAUUUGAGCGCUGUCUCGACAAUGCAUCCGGUGAAAUUGAAGUACCAGUGAAGAUGCUGGUUACCUGCGCCAGGACGGAAAGACCCCAUGGAGCUUUACUCCAGUCUGGUACUGGGACUCGGUAUUGCAUGUACAGGAUAGGUGGGAGGCUAGGAAAUGGUAACGCCAGUUGCCAUGGAGCCGCUGUUGGGAUACCACCCUUGCAGUAUUGGGUUUCUAACCAGCCGCCGUGACCCGGCGGUGGGACAAUGCCAGACGGGGAGUUUGACUGGGGCGGUCGCCUCCGAAAGGGUAUCGGAGGCGCCCAAAGGUUCCCUCAGAAUGGACGGAAACCAUUCGAAGAGUGCAAAGGCAGAAGGGAGCUUGACUGCGACACCGACGGGUGGAGCAGGUACGAAAGUAGGGCUUAGUGAUCCGGUGGUAUUAAGUGGGAAUGCCAUCGCUCAACGGAUAA